AGCAGCCGCGGUAAUUCCAGCUCCAAUAGCGUAUAUUAAAGUUGUUGCAGUUAAAAAGCUCGUAGUUGAAUUUUAGGCCUGACCGGACGGUCCGUCUCUGGCGAGUACUGUUCUGCUGUCGGGUCUAUCCUUCUGGUGAGCCGGUAUGCCCUUUAUUGGGUGUGUCGGGGAACCAGGACCAUUACCUUGAAAAAAUUAGAGUGUUUAAAGCGGGCUUUUGCUUGAAUAGAUUAGCAUGGAAUAAUAGAAUAGGACGUUGGUUCUAUUUUGUUGGUCUAGGACCACCGUAAUGAUUAAUAGGGAUAGUUGGGGCAUUAGUAUUCAAUUGUCAGAGGUGAAAUUCUUGGUAUUUAUUGAAGACUAACUACUG
Molecule: ribosomal RNA, 370 nt
Filed under: uncultured Archaeospora
Lineage: Eukaryota; Fungi; Glomeromycota; Glomeromycetes; Archaeosporales; Archaeosporaceae
Description: SSU rRNA
Rfam family: Eukaryotic small subunit ribosomal RNA
Source: RNAcentral